Molecule: ribosomal RNA, 254 nt
Filed under: uncultured bacterium
Lineage: Bacteria
Description: partial 16S ribosomal RNA
Rfam family: Bacterial small subunit ribosomal RNA
Source: RNAcentral
UACGAAGGGGGCUAGCGUUGCUCGGAAUCAUUGGGCGUAAAGCGCGCGUAGGCGGCUAGAUCAGUCUGCUGUAAAAGUCAAAGGCUCAACCUUUGAAAGCCGGUGGAUACUGUCUAGCUAGAGUCCGGAAGGGGCGAGGUGGAAUUCCUGGUGUAGCGGUGGAAUGCGCAGAUAUCAGGAGGAACACCAACGGCGAAGGCAGCUCGCUGGGACGGUACUGACGCUAAGGCGCGAAAGCGUGGGAGCGAACGAGG